GAUGAACGCUAGCGGCAGGCUUAACACAUGCAAGUCGAGGGGUAUAGUUCUUCGGAAUUAGAGACCGGCGCACGGGUGCGUAACGCGUAUGCAAUCUACCUUUCACAGAGGGAUAGCCCCAGAGAAAUUUGGAUUAAUACCUCAUAGUAUAGCAGUUUCGCAUGAAACCACUAUUAAAGUCACAACGGUGAAAGAUGAGCAUGCGUCCCAUUAGCUAGUUGGUAAGGUAACGGCUUACCAAGGCAACGAUGGGUAGGGGUCCUGAGAGGGAGAUCCCCCACACUGGUACUGAGACACGGACCAGACUCCUACGGGAGGCAGCAGUGAGGAAUAUUGGACAAUGGGCGCAAGCCUGAUCCAGCCAUGCCGCGUGCAGGAAUAAGGUCCUAUGGAUUGUAAACUGCUUUUAUACAGGAAGGAAACACACCCUCGUGAGGGUACUUGACGGUACUGUAUGAAUAAGGACCGGCUAACUCCGUGCCAGCAG
This 487-nucleotide ribosomal RNA is filed under the name uncultured bacterium. Its description in RNAcentral is "bacterial SSU rRNA". It matches the Rfam family "Bacterial small subunit ribosomal RNA", at positions 28 to 514 of the family's 1533-position model. The record is from RNAcentral.